CCUACGGGCGGCAGCAGUGGGGAAUAUUGCACAAUGGGCGCAAGCCUGAUGCAGCCAUGCCGCGUGUGUGAAGAAGGCCUUCGGGUUGUAAAGCACUUUCAGCGGGGAGGAAGGCGGUGAGGUUAAUAACCUCAUCGAUUGACGUUACCCGCAGAAGAAGCACCGGCUAACUCCGUGCCAGCAGCCGCGGUAAUACGGAGGGUGCAAGCGUUAAUCGGAAUUACUGGGCGUAGAGCGCACGCAGGCGGUCUGUCAAGUCGGAUGUGAAAUCCCCGGGCUCAACCUGGGAACUGCAUUCGAAACUGGCAGGCUAGAGUCUUGUAGAGGGGGGUAGAAUUCCAGGUGUAGCGGUGAAAUGCGUAGAGAUCUGGAGGAAUACCGGUGGCGAAGGCGGCCCCCUGGACAAAGACUGACGCUCAGGUGCGAAAGCGUGGGGAGCAAACAGGAUUAGAUACCCGGGUAGUC
This 465-nucleotide ribosomal RNA is filed under the name uncultured Klebsiella sp. RNAcentral describes it as "bacterial SSU rRNA". It matches the Rfam family "Bacterial small subunit ribosomal RNA", at positions 338 to 795 of the family's 1533-position model. The record is from RNAcentral. Lineage: Bacteria; Pseudomonadati; Pseudomonadota; Gammaproteobacteria; Enterobacterales; Enterobacteriaceae.